AGAGGGUGAAAGCCCCGUAUGUGAAAGCAGAUGAGACUGAGCAGGAUCCAGAGUACCACGAGACACGAGAAACCUUGUGGGAAGUCAGGGGGACCACCCCCUAAGGCUAAAUACUACUUAGUGACCGAUAGCGCAUAGUACUGUGAAGGAAAGGUGAAAAGGACCCCGGGAGGGGAGUGAAAGAGAACCUGAAACCCUGUGUCUACAAGCUGUGGGAGCACCUUAUG
This 227-nucleotide ribosomal RNA is filed under the name Blautia faecis. RNAcentral's name for it is "partial 23S ribosomal RNA". It matches the Rfam family "Bacterial large subunit ribosomal RNA", at positions 359 to 588 of the family's 2925-position model. The record is from RNAcentral. Lineage: Bacteria; Bacillati; Bacillota; Clostridia; Lachnospirales; Lachnospiraceae.